This 750-nucleotide ribosomal RNA is filed under the name Triticum aestivum (bread wheat). RNAcentral describes it as "partial small subunit ribosomal RNA". Lineage: Eukaryota; Viridiplantae; Streptophyta; Magnoliopsida; Poales; Poaceae. The record is from RNAcentral.
AUGAGUCUGUUAUGCUGGAACUGUCGAGGCUUGGGGUCGGACUCGACGGUUGGCGAGCUUCGCUGGUUAGUGAAGCUUCACUGCCCCACCCUCCUCUUUCUCUCUGAGACGAAGAUGAGGGAUUCACGUGUCAGAAACUUUAUGUGGUCUCUAGGAUUUACCGGGUGUUUGCUUGUCAAUUCCGACGGUCUGAGUGGUGGUUUGGCUCUAUUUUGGAUGGCGUUUGUUGAUGUUUCUCUCAAGGGGAGCAAUGCUCGAUGUAUUGAUGUUCUUGUUACUUCGGAGGCGGGCUCAACUUGGCGUGCUACCUUUGUGUACGGCGAACCGAGGAGGGAGGAUAGGCCACAAUUCUGGGAGUUGCUGAAACGUUUGAAAGCUCAAUGGCAGGGUCCUUGGAUUGUAUGUGAGGAUUUCAAUGAGGUUCUAUCCCAGGAUGAACAUUGUGGUCCCCGGGACAGAUCUGAAGCUCAGAUUUCAGCCUUUCGUGAUUGUCUCAUGGACUGUGAGUUGAUGGAUUUGAGUUUCUCUGGGCCUAAGUUUACGUGGAGUAAUCGCCAAGACCCGAAGUGCCAUGUGAAAGUCCGUCUUGAUAGAGCAGUGGCCAAUUCAGAUUUUAUAAGGUUGCAUGAUGUAUGCGUCGUUGAACAUGUGAUCACCACCUCCUCUGAUCAUUAUGCUAUCUUGAUCGAGCUUGCCGGGCAGCCCACCCAGAGGGCGCAACGACCAGUGCAACAAGGUUUUAAGUUCUAG